GUUGCGAACGGGUGAGUAACGCGUAGGUAACCUGCCUUGUAGCGGGGGAUAACUAUUGGAAACGAUAGCUAAUACCGCAUAACAAUGGAUGACACAUGUCAUUUAUUUGAAAGGGGCAAUUGCUCCACUACAAGAUGGACCUGCGUUGUAUUAGCUAGUAGGUGAGGUAAUGGCUCACCUAGGCGACGAUACAUAGCCGACCUGAGAGGGUGAUCGGCCACACUGGGACUGAGACACGGCCCAGACUCCUACGGGAGGCAGCAGUAGGGAAUCUUCGGCAAUGGGGGCAACCCUGACCGAGCAACGCCGCGUGAGUGAAGAAGGUUUUCGGAUCGUAAAGCUCUGUUGUAAGUCAAGAACGGGUGUGAGAGUGGAAAGUUCACACUGUGACGGUAGCUUACCAGAAAGGGACGGCUAACUACGUGCCAGCAGCCGCGGUAAUACGUAGGUCCCGAGCGUUGUCCGGAUUUAUUGGGCGUAAAGCGAGCGCAGGCGGUUUGAUAAGUCUGAAGUUAAAGGCUGUGGCUCAACCAUAGUUCGCUUUGGAAACUGUCAAACUUGAGUGCAGAAGGGGAGAGUGGAAUUCCAUGUGUAGCGGUGAAAUGCGUAGAUAUAUGGAGGAACACCGGUGGCGAAAGCGGCUCUCUGGUCUGUAACUGACGCUGAGGCUCGAAAGCGUGGGGAGCGAACAGGAUUAGAUACCCUGGUAGUCCACGCCGUAAACGAUGAGUGCUAGGUGUUGGAUCCUUUCCGGGAUUCAGUGCCGCAGCUAACGCAUUAAGCACUCCGCCUGGGGAGUACGACCGCAAGGUUGAAACUCAAAGGAAUUGACGGGGGCCCGCACAAGCGGUGGAGCAUGUGGUUUAAUUCGAAGCAACGCGAAGAACCUUACCAGGUCUUGACAUCCCGAUGCUAUUUCUAGAGAUAGAAAGUUACUUCGGUACAUCGGUGACAGGUGGUGCAUGGUUGUCGUCAGCUCGUGUCGUGAGAUGUUGGGUUAAGUCCCGCAACGAGCGCAACCCCUAUUGUUAGUUGCCAUCAUUCAGUUGGGCACUCUAGCGAGACUGCCGGUAAUAAACCGGAGGAAGGUGGGGAUGACGUCAAAUCAUCAUGCCCCUUAUGACCUGGGCUACACACGUGCUACAAUGGUUGGUACAACGAGUUGCGAGUCGGUGACGGCGAGCUAAUCUCUUAAAGCCAAUCUCAGUUCGGAUUGUAGGCUGCAACUCGCCUACAUGAAGUCGGAAUCGCUAGUAAUCGCGGAUCAGCACGCCGCGGUGAAUACGUUCCCGGGCCUUGUACACACCGCCCGUCACACCACGAG
RNAcentral lists this ribosomal RNA (1324 nucleotides) under Streptococcus thermophilus. RNAcentral's name for it is "bacterial SSU rRNA". It matches the Rfam family "Bacterial small subunit ribosomal RNA", at positions 95 to 1408 of the family's 1533-position model. Lineage: Bacteria; Bacillati; Bacillota; Bacilli; Lactobacillales; Streptococcaceae. The record is from RNAcentral.